Molecule: ribosomal RNA, 505 nt
Filed under: uncultured bacterium
Lineage: Bacteria
Description: bacterial SSU rRNA
Rfam family: Bacterial small subunit ribosomal RNA
Source: RNAcentral
AACGCUGGCGGCGUGCCUAAUACAUGCAAGUCGAGCGGUAAGGCUCCUUCGGGAGUACACGAGCGGCGGACGGCAGAGUAACGCGUAGGAACGUACCCCAAACUGAGGGAUAAGCACCAGAAAUGGUGUCUAAUACCGCAUGUGCUCCUCGGAGUAAAGCUUCGGCGGUUUGGGAACGGCCUGCGUAUGAUUAGCUUGUUGGUAAGGUAAAAGCUUACCAAGGCGACGAUCAUUAGCUGGUCUGAGAGGAUGAUCAGCCUGACUGGGACUGAGAACGGCCCAGACUCCUACGGGAGGCAGCAGUAGGGAAUUUUCCACAAUGGGCGAAAGCCUGAUGGAGCAACGCCGCGUGCAGGAUGAAUGCCUUCGGGUUGUAAACUGCUUUUAUAUGUGAAGAUUAUGACGGUAGCAUAUGAAUAAGGAUCGGCUAACUCCGUGCCAGCAGCCGCGGUCAUACGGAGGAUCCAAGCGUUAUCCGGAAUUACUGGGCGUAAAGAGUUGCGUA